RNAcentral lists this ribosomal RNA (657 nucleotides) under uncultured Roseateles sp. RNAcentral describes it as "bacterial SSU rRNA". It matches the Rfam family "Bacterial small subunit ribosomal RNA", at positions 61 to 720 of the family's 1533-position model. The record is from RNAcentral. Lineage: Bacteria; Pseudomonadati; Pseudomonadota; Betaproteobacteria; Burkholderiales; Sphaerotilaceae.
GUCGAACGGUAACAGGUUAAGCUGACGAGUGGCGAACGGGUGAGUAAUGUAUCGGAACGUGCCCAGUCGUGGGGGAUAACUGCUCGAAAGAGCAGCUAAUACCGCAUACGACCUGAGGGUGAAAGCGGGGGAUCGCAAGACCUCGCGCGAUUGGAGCGGCCGAUAUCAGAUUAGGUAGUUGGUGAGGUAAAGGCUCACCAAGCCGACGAUCUGUAGCUGGUCUGAGAGGACGACCAGCCACACUGGGACUGAGACACGGCCCAGACUCCUACGGGAGGCAGCAGUGGGGAAUUUUGGACAAUGGGCGCAAGCCUGAUCCAGCCAUGCCGCGUGCGGGAAGAAGGCCUUCGGGUUGUAAACCGCUUUUGUCAGGGAAGAAAAGGUUCUGGCUAAUACCUGGGACUCAUGACGGUACCUGAAGAAUAAGCACCGGCUAACUACGUGCCAGCAGCCGCGGUAAUACGUAGGGUGCAAGCGUUAAUCGGAAUUACUGGGCGUAAAGCGUGCGCAGGCGGUUAUGCAAGACAGAGGUGAAAUCCCCGGGCUCAACCUGGGAACUGCCUUUGUGACUGCAUGGCUAGAGUACGGUAGAGGGGGAUGGAAUUCCGCGUGUAGCAGUGAAAUGCGUAGAUAUGCGGAGGAACACCGAUGGCGAAG